Molecule: RNase P RNA, 346 nt
Filed under: Shewanella marisflavi
Lineage: Bacteria; Pseudomonadati; Pseudomonadota; Gammaproteobacteria; Alteromonadales; Shewanellaceae
Description: RNase P RNA component class A
Rfam family: Bacterial RNase P class A
About the family: Ribonuclease P (RNase P) is a ubiquitous endoribonuclease, found in archaea, bacteria and eukarya as well as chloroplasts and mitochondria. Its best characterised activity is the generation of mature 5'-ends of tRNAs by cleaving the 5'-leader elements of precursor-tRNAs. Cellular RNase Ps are ribonucleoproteins.
Source: RNAcentral
CGAGUUGGCCAGACAGUUGCUGCGUUCGCAAGAACGGGGAGGAAAGUCCGGGCUUCAAAGAGCAGGGUACCAGGUAACGCCUGGGCGGUGUGAACCGACGACAAGUGCAGCAGAGAGAAGACCGCCAAUCUUAGGAUUGGUAAGGGUGAAAGGGUGCGGUAAGAGCGCACCGUGCGGCUGGUAACAGUCCGUAGCAAGGUAAACUCUACCCGAAGCAAGACCAAAUAGGGUUCCGUAUGGCGUGGCUCGCGUUGGAACCGGGUAGGUCGCUUGAGCCUGUGAGCGAUUGCAGGCCUAGAUGAAUAACUGUCCACGACAGGACCCGGCUUAUCGGCCAACUCAACCU